This 301-nucleotide ribosomal RNA is filed under the name uncultured bacterium. Its description in RNAcentral is "partial 16S ribosomal RNA". It matches the Rfam family "Bacterial small subunit ribosomal RNA", at positions 509 to 808 of the family's 1533-position model. The record is from RNAcentral.
CAGCCGCCGCGGUAAUGCGAAGGGUGCAAGCGUUAAUCGGAAUUACUGGGCGUAAAGCGUGCGUAGGCGGUUUGUUAAGUCUGUUGUGAAAUCCCCGGGCUCAACCUGGGAUGGCAAUGGAUACUGGCAAGCUAGAGUGUGUCAGAGGAUGGUGGAAUUCCCGGUGUAGCGGUGAAAUGCGUAGAGAUCGGGAGGAACAUCAGUGGCGAAGGCGGCCAUCUGGGACAACACUGACGCUGAGGCACGAAAGCGUGGGGAGCAAACAGGAUUAGAUACCCCUGUAGUCCCUGUCUCUUAUACA